Molecule: ribosomal RNA, 495 nt
Filed under: uncultured bacterium
Lineage: Bacteria
Description: bacterial SSU rRNA
Rfam family: Bacterial small subunit ribosomal RNA
Source: RNAcentral
AGGGUUCGAUUCUGGCUCAGGACGAACGCUGGCGGCGUGCCUAACACAUGCAAGUCGAACGGACGAGGGGAGCUUGCUCCCCGAGUUAGUGGCGAACGGGUGAGUAACGCGUGAGUAACCUGCCUCGGAGAGGGGGACAACAGCCGGAAACGGCUGCUAAUACCGCAUGACGUCAUAUGGAGGCAUCUCCGUAUGACCAAAGAUUUAUCGCUCUGAGAUGGACUCGCGUCCGAUUAGAUAGUUGGCGGGGCAACGGCCCACCAAGUCGACGAUCGGUAGCCGGACUGAGAGGUUGAACGGCCACAUUGGGACUGAGAUACGGCCCAGACUCCUACGGGAGGCAGCAGUGAGGAAUAUUGGGCAAUGGGCGAAAGCCUGACCCAGCAACGCCGCGUGAAGGAAGUAAGGUUUUCGGAUUGUAAACUUCUUUUCUUCGGGACGAAAAAUGACGGUACCGAAGGAAUAAGCCACGGCUAACUACGUGCCAGCCGCUGC